AUGGCUACCGGAAUGGCUUGGACAGUGUUGAUGGCAAAAAUCGUCUGCAGAGCAACACACUCAAUUCCUGAAGUGAUCAACAAUUUAGCCGGUCUUUUCUUUUGCUGUCUUUUGCUGUAUGAGGAACAGAACGGCCUUCUUGCUGAUCUCAAAGAAAACUUAAUUCUUCUGGACGAAUCUUCAACGGAUCAACGGCAAACGGAACCUAAGCGGCGUCUAGGUCCUGUUUUCCGGGUGCAGCGGCGUAGGGUUGGCUUACUGCCACGGCGAUCUCUAAACUUGCAGGCAAGAACAAAGGAGUCGAUGGGGAAAAACGAACGAAAAGAAAAGCUAUGCGUGGAAAUAAAGUAG
Molecule: ribosomal RNA, 351 nt
Filed under: Triticum aestivum (bread wheat)
Lineage: Eukaryota; Viridiplantae; Streptophyta; Magnoliopsida; Poales; Poaceae
Description: partial small subunit ribosomal RNA
Source: RNAcentral